This 750-nucleotide long non-coding RNA is filed under the name Gallus gallus (chicken). RNAcentral describes it as "lncRNA (ENSGALG00010007606.1)". The record is from RNAcentral. Lineage: Eukaryota; Metazoa; Chordata; Aves; Galliformes; Phasianidae.
GCAACGGGUUAGGCAACGGGUUAGGCAACGGGUUAGGCAACGGGUUAGGCAACGGGUUAGGCAACGGGUUAGGCAACGGGUUAGGCAACGGGUUAGGCAACGGGUUAGGCAACGGGUUAGGGUUAGGCAACGGGUUAGGGUUAGGGUUAGGGUUAGGCAACGGGUUAGGGUUAGGGUUAGGCAACGGGUUAGGGUUAGGGUUAGGCAACGGGUUAGGGUUAGGCAACGGGUUAGGGUUAGGCAACGGGUUAGGGUUAGGCAACGGGUUAGGGUUAGGGUUAGGGUUAGGCAACGGGUUAGGCAACGGGUUAGGGUUAGGGUUAGGGUUAGGGUUAGGGUUAGGGUUAGGGUUAGGGUUAGGGUUAGGGUUAGGGUUAGGGUUAGGGUUAGGGUUAGGGUUAGGGUUAGGGUUAGGGUUAGGGUUAGGGUUAGGGUUAGGGUUAGGGUUAGGGUUAGGGUUAGGGUUAGGGUUAGGGUUAGGGUUAGGGUUAGGGUUAGGGUUAGGGUAAGGGUUAGGGUUAGGGUUAGGGUUAGGGUUAGGGUUAGGGUUAGGGUUAGGGUUAGGGUUAGGGGUAGGGUUAGGGUAGGGUUAGGGUUAGGGUUAGGGUUAGGGUUAGGGUUAGGGUUAGGGUUAGGGUAAGGGUUAGGGUAAGGGUUAGGGUUAGGGUUAGGGUUAGGGUUAGGGUUAGGGUUAGGGUUAGGGUUAGGGUUAGGGUUAGGGUUAGGGUUAGGGUUAGGGUUAGGGUUAGG